This is a long non-coding RNA of Tachysurus fulvidraco (yellow catfish), 1766 nucleotides long. RefSeq lists it as uncharacterized. NCBI's taxonomy places the organism in Eukaryota, Metazoa, Chordata, Actinopteri, Siluriformes, Bagridae. The transcript has 2 exons. The record is from RefSeq and is a predicted model, not a curated record.
UCACACUUCACGACUUCACACUUCAUUCUAAGCCGUGAAGUCAGAAUUCCGAGUCAUGAAGUCAGAGUUUCGAGCCGUGAAGUCAGAGUUCCGAGCCGUGAAGUCAGGAUUCCAAGUCAUGAAGUCAGAGUUCCAGGCCGUGAAGUCAGAGUUCUGAGACGUGAAGUCACAAUUUUGAGUUAUGAAGUCAGAGUUCUGAGUUCUGAUUCAAAUUAUUUGAGAGUCAAUUUGAAAUUCUGUGACAUGAAGUCAAAAUACUGCGAUAUUUUACUUGUAAAUUAUGCUGUUAGUUUAAUGGUAGGGCUUGCCUAUAAUUUAAUCUAAUUAUCAGAUGUUUGUAAUAUUUAUUUAUAGCAUUUUCAUACAGAUGACACAUUGGUGAACAUAUUUUUCAGACAUUUCAAUAUCCAGAGAUCCAGAGAUUUGGUUACCUUUUCAAAAGAGCAUCCUGUACAGCCAUGUUUGAAAACAUUUCCCAGAACUCAGCAUGGUACAAGGAAAAGAGCUCAUGGUAUAAGGACAAUUCAUGGCUUGAAUAUUCUGCAAGGCAAGAUUCAUAACAAGGGUCAUUUUUUUUUACAAUCUUAGAAGAAAUAGCAAAGCAAUAACCCCUCAUAGAAAAAAAGGUGAUGAAUGCCUGUGGCAAUGCUAAGUAUUCAAGCCACCAAAUCCAGAAUGAAAUUCUUGAGGUCUUGGCUGGAAUGGUACAAAGAAAAGAGAAGAGCUGUCUUUAGACUUGAGUUAUUGCUACAAUGGGGCCAUCCAUGAAAGCGUUUUACACUUUCAGUCAGUUGAAAGCUUAGACGCAUCAGGUCUCAAAAAUGAUAAUUGAUUGCUUGGAAAAACAUGGACUGGCCUACAGAAAUAAUCUUGUGGGGCAAGGAUAUGAUGGUGCAUCCGUCAUGAGCGGAAAUCAUUCGGGUGUGUCUGCACGGAUAAAAAACAAUGCAAGAUUUGCAUUGUAUAUGCACUGUAAUGCAUGUUGUUUGAAUUUGGUUCUUGUUGAUAUGGUAAAAUCAGUGCCUGAUGGAGUUAACAUUUUUGCUUCCUUGCAGAAACUUUAACUUUGUAUUUUGCUUGUUUGUUCAUCUCCACUGGUUUGCAGUUUAGAAAGAGCUGUCCAGAGGAGCAGCCCAUGGAACUGCAGAGACUUACAGAUGUAAGGUGGGCAUGCAGAUACAUGUUAAGCCAUAAUCUGAGAGACAGGCUCCCAGUGGUGCUGAGUGCUACAGGGUGUAGCACUUGAAAAUAGUGGCGAUAGAUCAGUGGAGAGGACCUCCAACAAUAAGUCAUCAAACUAAGCGACUAAGCGGAAAAGUGGAAGGGAUGGACCAUCUACUCUCCUUGAAUUUAUUGUUUGUAGAACCUUAUAAACAAGUGUUCCAUGAGCGCUUUAAGUUUUGUAAGAUUCAGCGCUACUUCUUGUGAGAAAAGAUUCUCUGCUUUAAAGCUGAUUAAAACAAACCUCAGAACUACAAUGGCUGACACCUGGGAAUUCUUAGUGUUGAGUCAAGUAGGGCCCGGUCCUUCAACAUGAAUGAGUUUUUGAAACCUUUGACCAGACUUAUGUUGUUUUACAUCUACUUUACCUAGAAUUUGUAAUGUACACUAUGUCUAUGUUUGUGAAUUGUUGGACACCAAAAUUAUAUUUUGUAUUUUUCCAAGUCGAUUUCUCCAACUUCUCAUUAAUAUUUGAUGUUUAAUUGCAGUGUUGUUUUGUUUUUUUUUGUAAAUGUAUAUUUUAUUAAACUGUGCAAUUUCUGUAA